GCCCCGGUGGGUGGUGUACUAGUAGAGCACGCGACCCCGGCAUGGAUGAAAUGCGGGUUCGAUUCCCGCCUGGGGCC
Molecule: non-coding RNA, 77 nt
Organism: Parelaphostrongylus tenuis
Lineage: Eukaryota; Metazoa; Nematoda; Chromadorea; Rhabditida; Metastrongylidae
Source: the annotation of a GenBank genome assembly